RNAcentral lists this ribosomal RNA (440 nucleotides) under uncultured bacterium. RNAcentral describes it as "partial 16S ribosomal RNA". It matches the Rfam family "Bacterial small subunit ribosomal RNA", at positions 338 to 795 of the family's 1533-position model. The record is from RNAcentral.
CCUACGGGAGGCAGCAGUGGGGAAUAUUGCACAAUGGGGGAAACCCUGAUGCAGCGACGCCGCGUGAGUGAAGAAGUAAUUCGUUAUGUAAACCUCUAUCAGCAGGGAAGAAAAUGACGGUACCUAAGUAAGAAGCACCGGCUAACUACGUGCCAGCAGCCGCGGUAAUACGGAGGGUGCAAGCGUUAUCCGGAUUUACUGGGCGUAAAGGGAGCGUAGACGGGAGAGCAAGUCUGAUGUGAAAGGCGAGGGCUCAACCCUCGGACUGCACUUGAAACUGUACGGCUGGAGUGUAGGAGAGGUAAGUGGAAUUCCUGGUGUAGCGGUGAAAUGCGUAGAGAUUAAGAGGAACACUCGUGGCGAAGGCGACCUGCUAGACUGUAACUGACGUUGAGGCGCGAAAGCGUGGGGAGCAAACAGGAUUAGAUACCCGGGUAGUC